Molecule: non-coding RNA, 74 nt
Organism: Myotis brandtii (Brandt's bat)
Lineage: Eukaryota; Metazoa; Chordata; Mammalia; Chiroptera; Vespertilionidae
Source: Rfam
GGCGGGGGGGGGGCAUCCCUCAGCCCAGAUUGCAAGAGGGCGCAGGCCAGGCUGAGGGACACCACCGGUGCACA